AUUAGAGUUUGAUCAUGGCUCAGAUUGAACGCUGGCGGCAGGCCUAACACAUGCAAGUCGAGCGGUAGAGAGAAGCUUGCUUCUCCUGAGAGCGGCGGACGGGUGAGUAAUGCCUAGGAAUCUGCCUGGUAGUGGGGGAUAACGUUUCGGAAACGGACGCUAAUACCGCAUACGUCCUACGGGAGAAAGCAGGGGACCUUCGGGCCUUGCGCUAUCAGAUGAGCCUAGGUCGGAUUAGCUAGUUGGUGGGGUAAUGGCUCACCAAGGCGACGAUCCGUAACUGGUCUGAGAGGAUGAUCAGUCACACUGGAACUGAGACACGGUCCAGACGUCCUACGGGAGGCAGCAGUGGGGAAUAUUGGACAAUGGGCGAAAGCCUGAUCCACCAUGCCGCGUGUGUGAAGAAGGUCUUCGGAUUGUAAUCACUUUAAGUUGGGAGGAAGGGCAGUUACCUAAUACGUAA
This 463-nucleotide ribosomal RNA is filed under the name uncultured bacterium. RNAcentral's name for it is "bacterial SSU rRNA". It matches the Rfam family "Bacterial small subunit ribosomal RNA", at positions 1 to 470 of the family's 1533-position model. The record is from RNAcentral.